UUCUAUGGCCAUGCCACCCUGAACACGCCUGAUCCUGUCUGAUCUCAGAAGCUAAGCAGGGGCAGGCCUGGUUAGUACUUGGAUGGGAGACCACCUAGGAAGACUGGGUGCUGUAGGUG
Molecule: ribosomal RNA, 119 nt
Filed under: Pteropus alecto (black flying fox)
Lineage: Eukaryota; Metazoa; Chordata; Mammalia; Chiroptera; Pteropodidae
Source: RNAcentral